CCUACGGGAGUCUGCAGUGAGGAAUAUUGGUCAAUGGGCGGGAGCCUGAACCAGCCAAGUCGCGUGAGGGAAGACGGUCCUAUGGAUUGUAAACCUCUUUAGGCGGGGAGCAAUGCCGGGCACGUGUGCCCGGAGGGAGAGUACCCGCAGAAUAAGCAUCGGCUAACUCCGUGCCAGCAGCCGCGGUAAUACGGAGGAUGCGAGCGUUAUCCGGAUUUAUGGGGUUUAAUGGGUGCGGAGGCGGAUUUUUAAGUCAGCGGUAAAAUGUCCGGGCUCAACCCGGGCCGGCCGUCGAAACAGGGGAUAUGGAGUGGGCGAGAGGUAUGCGGAAGGCGUGGUGUAGCGGUGAAAUGCGGAGAUACCGCGCAGAACUCCGAUUGCGAAGGCAGCAUACCGGCGCCCGACUGACGCUGAGGCACGAAAGCGUGGGGAUCGAACAGGAUUAGAUACCCCUGUAGUC
This 460-nucleotide ribosomal RNA is filed under the name uncultured bacterium. Its description in RNAcentral is "partial 16S ribosomal RNA". It matches the Rfam family "Bacterial small subunit ribosomal RNA", at positions 338 to 795 of the family's 1533-position model. The record is from RNAcentral.